GACGAACGCUGGCGGCGUGCCUAAUACAUGCAAGUUGAGCGAUGAAGAUUGGUGCUUGCACCAAUUUGAAGAGCAGCGAACGGGUGAGUAACGCGUGGGGAAUCUGCCUUUGAGCGGGGGACAACAUUUGGAAACGAAUGCUAAUACCGCAUAACAACUUUAAACAUAAGGUUUAAGGUUGAAAGAUGCAAUUGCAUCACUCAAAGAUGAUCCCGCGUUGUAUUAGCUAGUUGGUGAGGUAAAGGCUCACCAAGGCGAUGAUACAUAGCCGACCUGAGAGGGUGGUCGGCCACAUUGGGACUGAGACACGGCACAAACUCCUACGGGAGGCAGCAGUAGGGAAUCUUCGGCCAGGGACGAAAGUCAGACCGAGCAACGCCGCGUGAGUGAAGAAGGUUGUCGGAUCGUAAAACUCUGUUGGUAGAGAAGAACGUCGGUGAGAGUGGAAAGCUCAUCAAGUGACGGUAACUACCCAGAAAGGGACGGCUAACUACGUG
RNAcentral lists this ribosomal RNA (497 nucleotides) under uncultured bacterium. RNAcentral's name for it is "partial 16S ribosomal RNA". It matches the Rfam family "Bacterial small subunit ribosomal RNA", at positions 28 to 507 of the family's 1533-position model. The record is from RNAcentral.